Long non-coding RNA from Ananas comosus (pineapple), 504 nucleotides. RefSeq lists it as uncharacterized. The record is from RefSeq and is a predicted model, not a curated record. The transcript is spliced from 3 exons. Lineage: Eukaryota; Viridiplantae; Streptophyta; Magnoliopsida; Poales; Bromeliaceae.
UUGUUGUUUUAUAUAUAUAUAUAUAUAUAAUUAGCUGAUGAGCUUAAUUUGUGAUUAGUUUCUAGGGUUUCUGUGAAAUUGAAAAUAAUAUACUGAAUUUUACGGGGGUUUUGUUGAUUGGCCUUGGUUGAGGUUCUCAUGAUCCUCAGGUAUUAAUUGGGCUGUUAUUUUGAUGUCUUUUGAUGAUUCAUAUGUUAUGUGGUAGAUUACUGUUCAAUUGGAUUUUUUUUUUUAAAGUGGUUUCAUCCAAAUAUCUGAUGAAUGCCUUAUAAUUUUUGUAAUUUUGUUAUGUGUUUUGGGCCAGCCAUGCAAUACUGGUUUUGUAUAAGAAAUUCCACCAGAGGGCGCCGAAAUCAUUGAGAAGGUGGGAGAUGUGUGGGCAAGUUAAGGCGGUGGUUAAAAUAGAAAGCGAGGAAGAAAUGCUUGUUUUACAAGAGAGAGCAAAGGCAUUAAAGUUACCGACUCACAUAACAAUUGGUGCUGGAAGAACAUAGAUUGCACCAA